Molecule: non-coding RNA, 49 nt
Filed under: unclassified sequences
Description: gut-2 RNA
Rfam family: gut-2 RNA
About the family: gut metagenomes. Environment (Cow rumen (57))
Source: Rfam by way of RNAcentral
GACGCGCAAGCAAAUGGGCUUGAUGUAAGGGCUAAACGGGGUCGAGUUG